CCCUUAGAUGUUCUGGGCUGCACGCGCGCUACACUGAUGCGCUCAACGAGUUUUAACCUUGCCUGGAAAGGUUGGGUAAUCUUUUUAAAACGCAUCGUGGUGGGGAUAGAUUAUUGCAAUUAUUAAUCUUCAACGAGGAAUUCCUAGUAAGCGCGAGUCAUCAGCUCGUGCUGAUUACGUCCCUGCCCUUUGUACACACCGCCCGUCGCUCCUACCGAUUGAGCGAUCCGGUGAAUAAUUCGGACUGCGGCAUUGACCGGUUCCCGAUCGUUGCUGCGGAAAGUUUAGUGAACCUUAUCACUUAGAGGAAGGAGAAGUCGUAACA
RNAcentral lists this ribosomal RNA (325 nucleotides) under uncultured eukaryote. RNAcentral describes it as "partial 18S ribosomal RNA". It matches the Rfam family "Eukaryotic small subunit ribosomal RNA", at positions 1470 to 1796 of the family's 1831-position model. The record is from RNAcentral.